AGGUGCUUUGCUGUACAGCAAUGGAUAACCAGAGCAGGACGGGGCUAGGAAAGUCUGCUGAAGAGGCGUGGAUGUAAAAGCGCAGCCAGUGGGAGCCAUGGAAGGUGUUUGAGCUAUAACAUGAUCAAAGGAGUGCUUUAGGAAGAUUAAUCGGAAGGCCUCCGCCAGGUACCAGCGGAGUAAGGAGAAAUGGACACCUGUUAAAGAGUGCGCAUCUCUGGAUAGAACAGCUACGUUCGCUAAACGGAGAGAGAGGGAAAAACACCCCCAGCGUUGCCGAAGCAGCCUUGCACAGGGCGGCUACCAUUCGUGAGAAUUCAGCCUGAAGCCUUUUCAAAGCUCCCAGGACGUGCGGGGCUGGGGCAGCCAGGGUGAACGGGUGGAAAGAGCCUGCUCAGAAUGUUUUGCGUUACAGCCAGAAGCUCAGCACAUCCAGCCAACUCAACAACGAUUUAGGCAAUUGCCUGGACGCCGGUGAGGCAGCAGCUCACAGCCCUUGUGAUUCCGGUCCCUUCCGGAGUCCGGUGGGGGCCGGAUGACAGUGGGCCCGCGGAAGGAUGCAAAACCAAAUGCAUUCGCCUUUCCGGGAAAAUCUUA
Neofelis nebulosa (Clouded leopard) is the source of this 597-nucleotide long non-coding RNA. RefSeq lists it as uncharacterized. The transcript has 2 exons. The record is from RefSeq and is a predicted model, not a curated record. Lineage: Eukaryota; Metazoa; Chordata; Mammalia; Carnivora; Felidae.